This 2071-nucleotide ribosomal RNA is filed under the name Corynebacterium diphtheriae bv. mitis. Its description in RNAcentral is "partial 23S ribosomal RNA". It matches the Rfam family "Bacterial large subunit ribosomal RNA", at positions 1 to 1902 of the family's 2925-position model. Lineage: Bacteria; Bacillati; Actinomycetota; Actinomycetes; Mycobacteriales; Corynebacteriaceae. The record is from RNAcentral.
GUGUUGUUUGUUAAGGGCACACGGUGGAUGCCUUGGCAUUAUGAGCCGAUGAAGGACGUGUAAGGCCGCGAUAGGCCUCGGGGAGUUGCCAAUAGAGCGUUGAUCCGAGGGUGUCCGAAUGGGGAAACCUGGCCAUGGUUAUGUGUGGUUACCCAUCAGUGAAUUCAUAGCUGGUGUGGGGGUGACGCGGGGAAGUGAAACAUCUCAGUACCCGUAGGAGAAGAAAAUAAUUAAUGAUUCUGCUAGUAGUGGCGAACGAACGUGGAUGAGGCUAAACCGUAUGCGUGUGAUACCUGGCAGGGGUUGCGUGUGUGGUGUUGUGGGGCGUUGUUGGAGGAGGCUGCCGGCUCCUCGCUUGUUAUAUGUGUGUGUUAGCGGAAGUGGUUUGGAAUGGCCUGCCGUAGUGGGUGAGAGUCCCGUACGUGAAAACAUGUGCAUGCGAGUGGAUGAUGUUCCCGAGUAGCAGCGGGCUCGUGGAAUCUGCUGUGAAUCUGCCGGGACCACCCGGUAAGCCUAAAUACUUAUGAUGACCGAUAGCGGAUUAGUACCGUGAGGGAAUGGUGAAAAGUACCCCGGGAGGGGAGUGAAAUAGUACCUGAAACCGUGUGCUUACAAUCCGUCAGAGCCUUUUUGUUAGGUGAUGGCGUGCCUUUUGAAGAAUGAGCCUGCGAGUCAGCGGCAUGUCGCGAGGUUAACCCGUGUGGGGUAGUCGUAGCGAAAGCGAAUCCUAAUGAGGGUGUUUUUAAGUGGCAUGUCCUGGACCCGAAGCGGGGUGAUCUACCCAUGGCCAGUGUGAAGCAGCUGUAAGAGGUUGUGGAGGCGCGAACCCACUUAGGUUGAAAACUGAGGGGAUGAGCUGUGGGUAGGGGUGAAAGGCCAAUCAAACUCCGUGAUAGCUGGUUCUCCCCGAAAUGCAUUUAGGUGCAGCGUUGUGUGUUUCUUGCUGGAGGUAGAGCUACUGGUUGGUUGAGCGGGACUACAAUCUUAGCAAUGUCAGCCAAACUCCGAAUGCCGGUAAUGUUAAGCAUGGCAGUGAGACUGCGGGGGAUAAGCUCCGUUGGUCGAGAGGGAAACAGCCCAGAUCGCCGGUUAAGGCCCCUAAGGGUGUACUAAGUGGAAAAGGAUGUGGGAUCGCGAAGACAGCCAGGAGGUUGGCUUAGAAGCAGCCAUCCUUGAAAGAGUGCGUAAUAGCUCACUGGUCGAGUGGUUCUGCGCCGACAAUGUAGUGGGGCUCAAGUACACCGCCGAAGCCGCGGCAGUCAACAAUUUUUUUGUUGGUUGGGUAGGGGAGCGUCGUGCACUGCUGUGAAGCACCUGGGUGACUUGAUGGUGUGGAGUGUGUGCGAGUGAGAAUGCAGGCAUGAGUAACGAAUGAAAAGUGGAAAACUUUUCCGCCGGAUGACUAAGGGUUCCUGGGUUAAGCUAAUCUUCCCAGGGUGAGUCGGGACCUAAGGCGAGGCCGACAGGCGUAGUCGAUGGAUAACCAGUUGAUAUUCUGGUACCCGUGUAUGUGCGCCCAGUGGUGAAUCAGUGGUACUAACCAUCCAUUGAUCUGCUGGUCAUGCUUUGUGUGUGGUUGGUGGUGAUGUGCGUGGGAUCUUCGUUGGUAGUAGCCAAGUGAUGGGGUGACGCAGUGAGGUAGCUGAGCCAUGUAGUGGAUUGUGGUGUAAGCGUGUGGCCCGUGGCAUAGGUAAAUCCGUGUCGCAUUUGUGGGUGAGGCGUGAUGCGUAGACCGUUGUGGUUGAUGUUGGUGAUCCUGUACUGUCGAGAAAAGCCUCUAGCGAGUGCAUAUAUGGCCCGUACCCAUAACCGACACAGGUGGUCAGGUAGAGAAUACUAAGGCGAUCGGGUGAACUGUGGUUAAGGAACUCGGCAAAUUGCCCCCGUAACUUCGGGAGAAGGGGGACCAUUGCUGGUGACCGACGUGGUUGAGCUGGUGGUGGUCGCAGAGAAUAGAGGGAAGCGACUGUUUAUUAAAAACACAGGUCCGUGCGAAAACGUGGAAGUUGAUGUAUACGGACUGACGCCUGCCCGGUGCUGGAAGGUUAAGAGGACCUGUUAGGGCAUUUUU